AUCUCCUUCGGAGCAUUUUACGAGGUGCUGCAUGGUUGUCGUCAGCUCGUGCCGUGAGGUGUCGGGUUAAGUCCCAUAACGAGCGCAACCCCUUACCUUUAGUUGCCAUCAGGUAAUGCUGGGGACUCUAAAGGAACUGCCUACGCAAGUAGUGAGGAAGGCGGGGAUGACGUCAAAUCAGCACGGCCCUUACGUCCAGGGCUACACACGUGCUACAAUGGCCGAUACAGAGGGCAGCUACCUGGUGACAGGAUGCAAAUCUCCAAAGUCGGUCUCAGUUCGGAUCGGAGUCUGCAACCCGACUCCGUGAAGUUGGAUUCGCUAGUAAUCGCGCAUCAGCCAUGGCGCGGUGAAUACGUUCCCGGGCCUU
This 370-nucleotide ribosomal RNA is filed under the name uncultured Sphingobacteriales bacterium. Its description in RNAcentral is "bacterial SSU rRNA". It matches the Rfam family "Bacterial small subunit ribosomal RNA", at positions 1013 to 1382 of the family's 1533-position model. The record is from RNAcentral. Lineage: Bacteria; Pseudomonadati; Bacteroidota; Sphingobacteriia; Sphingobacteriales.